Molecule: ribosomal RNA, 253 nt
Filed under: uncultured bacterium
Lineage: Bacteria
Description: partial 16S ribosomal RNA
Rfam family: Bacterial small subunit ribosomal RNA
Source: RNAcentral
UACAGGGGGGGCAAGCGUUGUUCGGAAUUACUGGGCGUAAAGGGCUCGUAGGUGGCCAACUAAGUCGGACGUGAAAUCCCUCAGCUUAACUGGGGAACUGCAUCCGAUACUGGAUGGCUUGAGUUUGGGAGAGGGAUGCGGAAUUCCAGGUGUAGCGGUGAAAUGCGUAGAUAUCUGGAGGAACACCGGUGGCGAAGGCGGCAUCCUGGACCAAAACUGACACUGAGGAGCGAAAGCCAGGGGAGCAAACGGG